Molecule: ribosomal RNA, 588 nt
Filed under: uncultured bacterium
Lineage: Bacteria
Description: partial 16S ribosomal RNA
Rfam family: Bacterial small subunit ribosomal RNA
Source: RNAcentral
UGGGGAAUAUUGGACAAUGGGCGCAAGCCUGAUCCAGCCAUGCCGCGUGUGUGAAGAAGGCCUUCGGGUUGUAAAGCACUUUUGUCCGGAAAGAAAUCCUGUCGGUUAAUACCCGGCGGGGAUGACGGUACCGGAAGAAUAAGCACCGGCUAACUUCGUGCCAGCAGCCGCGGUAAUACGAAGGGUGCAAGCGUUACUCGGAAUUACUGGGCGUAAAGCGUGCGUAGGUGGUCUGUUAAGUCUGAUGUGAAAGCCCUGGGCUCAACCUGGGAACUGCAUUGGAUACUGGCAGUCUGGAGUGCGGUAGAGGGUAGCAGAAUUCCCGGUGUAGCAGUGAAAUGCGUAGAUAUCGGGAGGAACAUCCGUGGCGAAGGCGGCUACCUGGACCAGCACUGACACUGAGGCACGAAAAGCGUGGGGAGCAAACAGGAUUAGAUACCCUGGUAGUCCACGCCCUAAACGAUGCGAACUGGAUGUUGGGAGCAACUAGGCUCUCAGUAUCGAAGCUAACGCGUUAAGUUCGCCGCCUGGGAAGUACGGUCGCAAGACUGAAACUCAAAGGAAUUGACGGGGUCAUAGCUGUUUCCU